GUCUCUAUAGUGAAAUUUUAUAUCACAUUACUUUUUCAAGGUAAAGUUGAAUUUAUAUUCUAGAGAUA
This 68-nucleotide transfer RNA is filed under the name Hypselodoris bullockii. RNAcentral's name for it is "tRNA-Glu". The record is from RNAcentral. Lineage: Eukaryota; Metazoa; Mollusca; Gastropoda; Nudibranchia; Chromodorididae.